CCUACGGGAGGCAGCAGUGGGGAAUAUUGGACAAUGGGCGGAAGCCUGAUCCAGCCAUGCCGCGUGUGUGAAGAAGGUCUUCGGAUUGUAAAGCACUUUAAGUUGGGAGGAAGGGCAGUUACCUAAUACGUAAUUGUUUUGACGUUACCGACAGAAUAAGCACCGGCUAACUCUGUGCCAGCAGCCGCGGU
This 191-nucleotide ribosomal RNA is filed under the name uncultured bacterium. RNAcentral describes it as "partial 16S ribosomal RNA". It matches the Rfam family "Bacterial small subunit ribosomal RNA", at positions 338 to 521 of the family's 1533-position model. The record is from RNAcentral.